This 1197-nucleotide ribosomal RNA is filed under the name Triticum aestivum (bread wheat). RNAcentral's name for it is "partial small subunit ribosomal RNA". Lineage: Eukaryota; Viridiplantae; Streptophyta; Magnoliopsida; Poales; Poaceae. The record is from RNAcentral.
AUGGGAGUUUACCUUAGUACCCCCAAAACUGAGAAGCUAUCUGAAGAUGGGGAAAAUGAUAAGCUUAAAUUUGGACUUUCAUCUAUGCAAGGGUGGCGUGCGAGUAUGGAAGAUGCUCAUUCAGCCUUGCUAGAUAUCGAUGAGGACACAUCGUUCUUCGGUGUUUUUGAUGGACAUGGAGGAAAAGUGGUUGCCAAAUUCUGUGCAAAAUAUCUACACAGGGAAGUUCUCAAAAGUGAAGUUUAUUUAGCUGGUGACCUGGGAGCUGCUGUCCAUGGAGCUUUCUUCAGAAUGGAUGAGAUGAUGCGGGGUCAAAGAGGCUGGCGAGAACUACAGGCACUUGGAGAUAAAAUAAACCAGUUUACUGGCAUGAUAGAGGGGCUGAUCUGGUCUCCGAGAGGCAGUGAUUCAAAUGAUCGACAUGAUGAUUGGGCUUUUGAGGAGGGACCUCACUCUGAUUUUAGCGGGCCAACCUGUGGGAGUACAGCCUGUGUUGCAAUGUUAAGGAAUAGUCAACUUGUUGUGGCAAACGCCGGAGAUUCCCGCUGUGUUAUCUCAAGGAAUGGCCAGGCAUACAAUUUAUCAAGAGAUCACAAACCAGAGCUUGAAGCAGAGAGAGAACGGAUAUUGAAAGCAGGGGGUUACAUCCAAAUGGGGCGAGUAAAUGGAACUAUAAACUUGUCAAGGGCAAUUGGAGAUAUGGAAUUUAAACAGAAUAAAUUCUUGUCUCCUGAUAAGCAAAUGUUGACAGCAAACCCUGACGUAAACACUGUCGAGCUUUGUGAUGAUGAUGACUUUCUUGUUUUAGCAUGUGAUGGCAUUUGGGACUGCAUGUCGAGCCAACAGCUGGUCGAUUUCAUCCAUGAGCACCUAAAGACAGAGAGCAGCCUUUCUGCAGUGUGUGAAAAGGUGCUCGAUAGAUGCCUGGCUCCAUCAACAUUAGGUGGAGAAGGAUGCGACAACAUGACGAUGAUCCUAGUGCAGUUCAAGAAGCCAAUUGACCAUGGCAAGAAUGCCGGUGGUGGUGAACAAUCAGCUGUUGGGGAUAAGAAUGUAAGUGCUGGUGAACAAUCAGCGGUCGCGGAUAAGAGUGCUAGUGCUAGUGAUCAAUCAGCUGUCGAGGACAAGAAUGCUAGUGUGGUGGACAAUCAGCUGUCGGGACAAGAAUGCUACGCGACCGAGGAGAAGAACUCGUGA